Molecule: long non-coding RNA, 1043 nt
Organism: Bombina bombina (fire-bellied toad)
Lineage: Eukaryota; Metazoa; Chordata; Amphibia; Anura; Bombinatoridae
Exons: 5
Source: RefSeq, a predicted model, not a curated record
AUAAAUGGUCUGGUGAUCGUUGUGUAAGGGUGACUCAGCAGUGCAGGUAUGUGAAUAGAGUCCCUGUCAAUCUGCAAAGCAUUCACUGCACUCUGGUGUUUUUCCUCUCCUGUAGCUCUCUUUCGGUGAAGAAAACAUAAAUUGGAGCAAACCAAAAGACGAUAAUAGUUUCCACAUGGAUUAAGAGAAAUUUAUUGGAAAAAUAUCUUCUGCUUCCUAAAGCAGGAGGUGUUAAACGAAAACCUGACACCUUUGUGAACAGCUAAACGCGGUCAUUUUUUUUGCCUGCCAUUUUAAUGGCUACUGGCUGGGUGAAAAUAUUAACACAGAGAAGUUGAUAGUGCUCAAACCACGUGAACGCUCCUGAGCCUACAUCAAUAAAAAAGAGUUAUGUUUCAACAAAAGGGUACCAAGAGAAAAAGGCUCCGAUAUUCGAAACAUCACCAGGCCGAUGUGAAUAUGGCUUGCGGGCCUCGCCAACAUCACCACACAUCGCCCUGUCAGUAUUUUCAAAGAAAAGAGGCUUGGCUGAGCAGUGCCAGCAAGCGGGAAUGUUUCUCCCGUAGAAGUCAAAGGGAUUGUGACAUCACCACCCGCAACACCAACAUCGCAGCUCAUGGGAAUUUUGCUGCUGGUAUAAAAAGUAAUUUGAAUCUCUUUAAGGAUGAACAAGUUUUACAGUACACUUUCCCUUUGAUAUGGAAAUGCUUUAACAUGUCCCUUUAAUGCAAUAUAAUGCUAUGAAGCAGUAUUCACUCUUUUGCAGUAAAGCACAUGCAACAAUGAGAUCCUUCCUGGUGAUCCAGAUUAACAUAGAGCAUUAUACACUAGAAAUCCCUCAAUAACGCAUUAUGAGUUUAAAAAAAAAACAACAAUUCUUUUGCUGAUUAUUGCUGCACGAAUACAUUGCCACUAAUCCUGGGUCCUGGGUGAUUUACUCAAGGUCACGGAGAAUGAGCAGUCACUCUGUAACUGUGUUCUCUUAUUGUUGUAAUCAUUUUGCUCCCUGUAAUGAAUGAAUAAAUAAUAUCUGUGUUCUCUGA